UGUCGCCAUAGCAACAAUGAUGCUGGACAAGGCUGGGUCAUCAUUGGAGAACUCCUGCUGGUUACGGGAUGGAGGUCAGGCCAGGGAGCCCUGUUCAGGACCAACGGAAGAAAAGAUGAGCACUGGAUAUGUACGGAGGGAAGACUGUGAAAUCACAAGGAGAAAGCACCCAUUUGCAAGCAAAGAACAAAGACCUCAGGAGAAGCCAGUCCUGCUGACACCUUGAACUUGAACUUCGGGCCUCCAGAAUGAGACAUUGAAAUAAAUGUCUGCUGUUUGAGCCACC
RNAcentral lists this long non-coding RNA (286 nucleotides) under Mustela putorius furo (domestic ferret). RNAcentral describes it as "lncRNA (ENSMPUG00000026419.1)". Lineage: Eukaryota; Metazoa; Chordata; Mammalia; Carnivora; Mustelidae. The record is from RNAcentral.